This 301-nucleotide ribosomal RNA is filed under the name uncultured bacterium. RNAcentral's name for it is "partial 16S ribosomal RNA". It matches the Rfam family "Bacterial small subunit ribosomal RNA", at positions 509 to 807 of the family's 1533-position model. The record is from RNAcentral.
CAGCCACCGCGGUAAUACGAGGGGGGCAAGCGUUGUUCGGAAUUAUUGGGCGUAAAGGGUGCGUAGGCGGUUUGAUAAGUCUUGUGUGAAAUCUAUGGGCUCAACCCAUAGUCUGCACAGGAAACUGUCGGGCUUGAGAGUGGGAGAGGUGAGUGGAAUUUCCGGUGUAGAGGUGAAAUGCGUAGAUAUCGGAAGGAACACCUGUGGCGAAAGCGGCUCACUGGACCAUUUCUGACACUGAUGCACGAAAGCUAGGGGAGCAAACAGGAUUAGAGACCCCAGUAGUCCCUGUCUCUUAUAC